GAAAAAGUUGCAGAGGUUGCAGGGUUGGCUUGAAAUCAGUUUUAGGAGGUUCGAUUCCUUCCUUUUUCG
Transfer RNA from Chlorocebus sabaeus (green monkey), 69 nucleotides. It matches the Rfam family "tRNA". From Rfam's summary of the family: Transfer RNA (tRNA) molecules are approximately 80 nucleotides in length. Their secondary structure includes four short double-helical elements and three loops (D, anti-codon, and T loops). The record is from Rfam. NCBI's taxonomy places the organism in Eukaryota, Metazoa, Chordata, Mammalia, Primates, Cercopithecidae.